UAGAUUUCAUAGACGUUAGGGCCAGAAGGGACCUUGUAAGACCAUUGGAUCCAGCCUUGCUGCCCAAAGUGCAGGAAGUCAACUAGGAUCGAAGGAUCCCAGGAAGAUAAGCAUCCAAAUUGGGUUCUGAAGCUCUAC
This is a long non-coding RNA of Gavialis gangeticus (Gharial), 138 nucleotides long. RefSeq lists it as uncharacterized. The record is from RefSeq and is a predicted model, not a curated record. NCBI's taxonomy places the organism in Eukaryota, Metazoa, Chordata, Crocodylia, Gavialidae. The transcript is spliced from 3 exons.